Long non-coding RNA from Bos taurus (domestic cattle), 579 nucleotides. The record is from Ensembl. Lineage: Eukaryota; Metazoa; Chordata; Mammalia; Artiodactyla; Bovidae.
GAUGCUCCAGUGAAAGAUGGUGGAUAAAUAGGAAGUGACACUAGCCUCUCCCUCCCCGGCCCCCGUGUGCGUUUUCUAGCCGCUGGAUCACACGCUGUUCCCCCCUCUCCCCACUGGCUUCCUGCUCUUGCUACCUUCAGCGCUUUCAUCCCGGCGGUCUCUUUGGUGCAUUUUCCUUGCCUUGCUUUAGGAAAGCCGAUUCCUUUCAGUGGUUGAGUUUCCUGGUCUCCACAUACGACUCGUCCGGGAUUACUGCCUCUUGGCCUCUUACCAUUUCAUUCACAAGGAGCUGACUUUGAGGCUCAGUGGAUCCGAACCUUCCCCACCAUGGUGCGGUCACCGUGCAUGUGAGACAGCAAGAUCCGUGCCUCCCUGGGCCAGGCUCACAGGCGACACAGCUACUUCUCAGAGGCGAAGGGUGUCAUGGGGAAGCCCGAGGUUCCUGCUACGGAAGUGUGGGUGUUCUGUGCCAGGGCGGAUGGCUCCCCUCUCCUGACAUCCUGAUGGGCUGCACUUGGCGUUCAAGAAAGAUUUCCUUUACCAGCCCCUUGCCCGUCAUGUGGGGUCUGCCAAUAAAGU